AUGGAUGCGGCGGGGAAGAGACCUGACGUACGAGGCGGGCGGGCGCAGAAGAGACCUGAGGUGCAAAGUGAUGCGGGGGAGAGAUCUGAGAAGCUGCGGGCGGAUCCGGAGGAGGGACCUGAGCUACAAGGGGCGGAUCCGGACGAGGGACCUCAUCUAUCAGCGGCGGAUACGGAGGAGACAUUGAGCAAUCUGUUUUCUGAGAAGCUGCGGGCGGAUCCGGAGGAGGGACCUGAGCUACGAGGGGCGGAUCCGGACGAGGGACCUCAUCUAUCAGCGGCGGAUGCGGAGGAGGUAUUGAGCAAUCUGUUUUCUGAGAAGCUGCGGAUUGAUCUGCAAAGGAAGGACAUGCCUCUGGAGAUGUUGAGAAACCUGAUAUCUGAGAUGCUAGCUGCGACACUAUUGAUAGAUGUUGGGGAGGAGGUACUUCAGCGGUGGCCGAGUAAUCCUCUGAGGAGGUAUUUUUUCCUCAGUAGUCGUAUGGGUGAGAAGAUGACAAGGAAACAGGUUCUCAUUGAGAUAGAGGCUCUCAGAAUAAUUGCAAGGUCCAGAGGUAUGCGACUGUCAAUGGAUCACGUUCUCAAAGAGGCAGAGGCUACUGUGGAAAUGGAGGAACAGGCUCUCAAGGAGAUUCAGACUACUGCCAGCGAAACAGUAGAGGAACAAGCUCUCAAGAUGAUUCAGGCUGUCAGGGAAAGAGUACAGGACGAGUUGAAGAAGAGCUCUCUGAAGAAAAAAGUACAGGACGAGUUGAAGAAGAGCUCUCUGAAGAAAAAGCCGAGGAGGCGAAAGGGUAAGAACAAGCUUCCGGAGGAGGCCCUCUCUGAACCAAAUGCUUACGAUCUUCAUCGAAAUUUCUGGAAUUCAAUGUUUGCUGGCCCACGAUAUGGUUGCUACGAGACCACAACUUCUACCCCUCCCAUGCGAUUCACUGAUGAUGUAUGUGACCUCGCUGGCCCACUUGAGACUCUUCAGAUUUUUUCAGUCAAAGUCGUUGGAGUAAAGAAGGGGAUAUCUUGGCCACUUAGUCUCUAUGGCAAGAUUGCGGCACGCGACACAGUUGAUCGCAAUCGCAAUAUCAUCUUUGAUUGUGAGAGGGAUAACUGUGAAAUCCUCUACGAGGAUAGUCCGUAUUUACCUCUCACCGGUCCUUCCUGUGCUGUUGUGUUGUCGGUACAUCAUUCAUAUAUCGAGGUUGAGUUAAAACUCAAGCUAGAUUCUGGUGAUGAAGAAUUCAGCUACGUAUCUGAUGCCUACAUCGAGAUUGUCCCUUUUAACUCCUUCGUCAUGCAACGAGAUUUGGCUGGCAGGCUUAGCACGUUGCAGCUAACUGUGGCCCACAUUAUUCAUUCCGUGGAGGCUACAAUUAGUGUCAAAGUCAAACAUGGGGAAUGGCCAUAUGGCCAUGGAGGCCUAUUUACUGCGUCUACUGCUAGCAUCAAUGACAUGGAAGUUGUGCUUCUUGGAUUUGAGGUUGAUGAGGUCCUACCUGUUAAGGAUGAUGGGCAUGUCAAGCUUUUUCGUCGCGUCGUUAGCGUUGAAAGCAAAGGAAAGCUCGAAGUCUUGGUGGAAGCAAACCCUGCCAAUGAUGAAGAGGAUGUAGUUAGCGACGACAUCUAUUUCACACCCAAGAGAUCUGGUAGGAGCCACCAAAUGCUCAAGGUUGGCUCUUGUGAGAUGGAGGUAACGGUGGCGUGGUCUCUCCUUUUGUCUUAUGGAUGA
This 1722-nucleotide ribosomal RNA is filed under the name Triticum aestivum (bread wheat). Its description in RNAcentral is "partial small subunit ribosomal RNA". Lineage: Eukaryota; Viridiplantae; Streptophyta; Magnoliopsida; Poales; Poaceae. The record is from RNAcentral.